Long non-coding RNA from Molossus molossus (Pallas's mastiff bat), 344 nucleotides. RefSeq lists it as uncharacterized. The transcript has 3 exons. Lineage: Eukaryota; Metazoa; Chordata; Mammalia; Chiroptera; Molossidae. The record is from RefSeq and is a predicted model, not a curated record.
CAUUGACACAGCUCUCAAUCUAUGGGUGGCAAAAUAUUUGCUUACUAAUGAUCACUCCUCAUACCAUUUUACUUUGAGGAAUACUUCGGUGGUAAAUAUUGAGGCUGCGAAUGACUCAUUGACACUGGACCAGACAAGGAAUUUGUUUUUCAUUAGUGAUGGUGAGUUUGCACAGAUCCAUCCACACUUCCUUGCCUCAUCACUGGUGACCUUAUAAGCAAUUCGAGAGGCAGCUGACGGGGUUAGGAAUAAAAACCUCAUGCAUUCAUUUACAAAUGGAGCAGAACAAACCCCAGCUAACCAGGCUGUAGGAACUGACCACUCUUCUCACCAGCGGUGCCCAG